AGUAAAAACUCCUGGAAAAACUGUACCUUCUACAGUAAAAACUCCUGGAAAAACUGUACCUCCUACAGUAGAAAAUCUUGUAAAAACUCAAACUUCUACAAUGAAAACUCUUGGAAAAGCUCAAACACAAACUUCUGGUCAACCUGUUAAAGAUUCAGCACUUUAUGUUCCUUUCACCGUUCCCCUUGUGCUGCUGCUAUUGAUAGGCAUCCUUGUGGUUGUAGUUUACAAGUGGAAACAUUACAAAGUAAAAGAAGAUGAAGCCACUGUGGACACAAAUGCACCCAAGGCAGAAGGUUUAGAGGAAGUGAUUGAUGCGAUGGAAAAUGAUGUAAGAAAACUAAAGUACAAAUUGUGUCAUAUCUAUAACAUGUCUCACCAUAAACUUACAGGAUAACGCAAAAAACAAACUGAUUCUUAGUUGUGUUUAAUACAAUACCGUGCAAAAGUCUCGAGUCAUUAAUAAUUUAUGUUUUAUUUAAAAAGGCCCAGACUUGUACGGUAAUUUUUUU
This is a long non-coding RNA of Haplochromis burtoni (Burton's mouthbrooder), 512 nucleotides long. RefSeq lists it as uncharacterized. The transcript is spliced from 3 exons. The record is from RefSeq and is a predicted model, not a curated record. Lineage: Eukaryota; Metazoa; Chordata; Actinopteri; Cichliformes; Cichlidae.